RNAcentral lists this ribosomal RNA (449 nucleotides) under uncultured prokaryote. RNAcentral's name for it is "bacterial SSU rRNA". It matches the Rfam family "Bacterial small subunit ribosomal RNA", at positions 355 to 796 of the family's 1533-position model. The record is from RNAcentral.
UGGGGAAUUUUGCGCAAUGGGCGCAAGCCUGACGCAGCGACGCCGCGUGUACGAUGAAGGCCUUUGGGUCGUAAAGUACUGUCAACGGGGAAGAAGGGUUCAUGGUGAAUAGCCAUGGUCUUUGACGGUACCCGUGGAGGAAGCACCGGCUAACUCUGUGCCAGCAGCCGCGGUAAUACAGAGGGUGCAAACGUUGCUCGGAAUGACUGGGCGUAAAGCGCGCGCAGGUGGCCUGCUCAGUCGGCUGUGAAAUCCCCUGGCUCAACCAGGGACGUGCAGUCGAUACUGGCCGGCUUGAGUCCCGGAGAGGGUGGUAGAAUUCCCAGUGUAGAGGUGAAAUUCGUAGAUAUUGGGAGGAAUACCGGUGGCGAAGGCGACCACCUGGACGGGUACUGACACUGAGGCGCGAAAGCGUGGGGAGCAAACAGGAUUAGAUACCCGCGUAGUCC